AGGCCCUUUCGGGGGUACUCGAGCGGCGAACGGGUGAGUAACACGUGAGUAAUCUGCCCUGCGCUCUGGGAUAGCCACCGGAAACGGUGAUUAAUACCGGAUAGGACCACUUCACGCAUGUGAUGGUGGUGGAAAGUUUUUUCGGCGCAGGAUGUGCUCGCGGCCUAUCAGCUUGUUGGUGAGGUAACGGCUCACCAAGGCUUUGACGGGUAACCGGCCUGAGAGGGUGACCGGUCACACUGGGACUGGGACACGGCCCAGACUCCUACGGGAGGCAGCAGUGGGGAAUAUUAGACAAUGGGCGGAAGCCUGAUCCAGCAACGCCGCGUGAGGGAUGACGGCCUUCGGGUUGUAAACCUCUUUCAGUACCGACGAAGCGAAAGUGACGGUAGGUACAGAAGAAGGACCGGCCAACUACGUGCCAGCAGCCGCGGUAAUACGUAGGGUCCGAGCGUUGUCCGGAAUUAUUGGGCGUAAAGGGCUCGUAGGCGGUUUGUCGCGUCGGGAGUGAAAACACCGGGCUUAACUCGGUGCUUGCUUUCGAUACGGGCAGACUAGAGGUAUGCAGGGGAGAAUGGAAUUCCUGGUGUAGCGGUGAAAUGCGCAGAUAUCAGGAGGAACACCGGUGGCGAAGGCGGUUCUCUGGGCAUUAC
This 653-nucleotide ribosomal RNA is filed under the name uncultured Actinomycetes bacterium. Its description in RNAcentral is "bacterial SSU rRNA". It matches the Rfam family "Bacterial small subunit ribosomal RNA", at positions 72 to 739 of the family's 1533-position model. The record is from RNAcentral. Lineage: Bacteria; Bacillati; Actinomycetota; Actinomycetes.